GCCCACUUAACUCAGUCGAUUAGAGCAACGUGCUAAUAACGCGUAGGUCACUGGUUUGACACCUGUAGUAAGCA
This 74-nucleotide transfer RNA is filed under the name Coemansia erecta. Its description in RNAcentral is "tRNA-Ile". It matches the Rfam family "tRNA". Rfam says of the family: Transfer RNA (tRNA) molecules are approximately 80 nucleotides in length. Their secondary structure includes four short double-helical elements and three loops (D, anti-codon, and T loops). Further hydrogen bonds mediate the characteristic L-shaped molecular structure. tRNAs have two regions of fundamental functional importance: the anti-codon, which is responsible for specific mRNA codon recognition, and the 3' end, to which the tRNAs corresponding amino acid is attached (by aminoacyl-tRNA synthetases). tRNAs cope with the degeneracy of the genetic code in two manners: having more than one tRNA (with a specific anti-codon) for a particular amino acid; and 'wobble' base-pairing, i.e. permitting non-standard base-pairing at the 3rd anti-codon position. Lineage: Eukaryota; Fungi; Kickxellomycota; Kickxellomycetes; Kickxellales; Kickxellaceae. The record is from RNAcentral.